This 175-nucleotide long non-coding RNA is filed under the name Dermacentor andersoni. RNAcentral describes it as "uncharacterized LOC126530468". The record is from RNAcentral. Lineage: Eukaryota; Metazoa; Arthropoda; Arachnida; Ixodida; Ixodidae.
GUUGAAAUACAAAGUGUCAGCGUUGGGCAACGUAAUCGCCGCCGACUGCAGAGGAUCCCGCGAUGUCCGUUGGCUUAAGUAGUUUUCCGAUGAAACCAGGUUUUCAGACGAAGUUGGUGAUUGCCGCCAGAAGCGGCAGGACGGUUAGCUUCGACGAAGGUGAUAGUGGCAUCCG